This 442-nucleotide ribosomal RNA is filed under the name uncultured Prevotella sp. RNAcentral describes it as "bacterial SSU rRNA". It matches the Rfam family "Bacterial small subunit ribosomal RNA", at positions 355 to 794 of the family's 1533-position model. Lineage: Bacteria; Pseudomonadati; Bacteroidota; Bacteroidia; Bacteroidales; Prevotellaceae. The record is from RNAcentral.
UGAGGAAUAUUGGUCAAUGGACGAAAGUCUGAACCAGCCAUGCCGCGUGAAGGAAUAAGGCCCUAUGGGUCGUAAACUUCUUUUGUAUGUGAGCAAUAAGGUCCACGUGUGGACCGAUGAGAGUAGCAUACGAAUAAGCAUCGGCUAACUCCGUGCCAGCAGCCGCGGUAAUACGGAAGGUCCAGGCGUUAUCCGGAUUUAUUGGGUUUAAAGGGAGCGUAGGCCGUUUUUAAGCGUGUUGUGAAAUACUGUCGCUCAACGACAGAGGUGCAGCGCGAACUGGAGGACUUGAGUGCGCGGAAUGUAGGCGGAAUUCGUCGUGUAGCGGUGAAAUGCUUAGAUAUGACGAAGAACUCCGAUUGCGAAGGCAGCUUACAGUAGCGUAACUGACGCUGAAGCUCGAAAGUGCGGGUAUCGAACAGGAUUAGAUACCCUGGGUAGU